This 407-nucleotide ribosomal RNA is filed under the name uncultured bacterium. RNAcentral describes it as "partial 16S ribosomal RNA". It matches the Rfam family "Bacterial small subunit ribosomal RNA", at positions 30 to 526 of the family's 1533-position model. The record is from RNAcentral.
AUUGAACGCUGGCGGCAGGCCUAACACAUGCAAGUCGAGCGGCGAGGCGGACGGGUGAGUGCUGCCUAGGAAUCUACCUGGUGGUGGGGGAUCACUUCAGGAAAGGGGCGCUUAUACCGCAUAAUAUCAGAUGACCCUCGGUCGUCUUAGCUAGUUGGUGGGGUAAAGCCCUACCAAGGCGACGAUCCGUAACUGGACUGAGAGGAUGAUCAGUCACACUGGAACUGAGACACGGUCCAGACUCCUACGGGAGGCAGCAGUAGGGAAUAUUGGACAAUGGGCGAAAGCCUGAUCCAGCCAUGCCGCGUGUGUGAAGAAGGUCUUCGGAUUGUAAAGCUCUUUUAGUUGGGAGGCGUUACCAACAGAAUAAGCACCGGCUAACUUCGUGCCAGCAGCCGCGGUAAUUC